Acomys russatus (golden spiny mouse) is the source of this 85-nucleotide small nucleolar RNA. NCBI's taxonomy places the organism in Eukaryota, Metazoa, Chordata, Mammalia, Rodentia, Muridae. The record is from RefSeq and is a predicted model, not a curated record.
CCCCCCACACAAUGUCCAGCACUGAGCUCUGACAUCCUUGAGGACAUGGUGCUUCUAGGACCUUUGAUACCAGAGAUCUGAGGAG